GACGAACGCUGGCGGCGUGCUUAACACAUGCCAGUCGAACGGAAAGGCCCUGCUUUUGUGGGGUGCUCGAGUGGCGAACGGGUGAGUAACACGUGAGUAACCUGCCCUUGACUUUGGGAUAACUUCAGGAAACUGGGGCUAAUACCGGAUAGGAGCUCCUGCUGCAUGGUGGGGGUUGGAAAGUUUCGGCGGUUGGGGAUGGACUCGCGGCUUAUCAGCUUGUUGGUGGGGUAGUGGCUUACCAAGGCUUUGACGGGUAGCCGGCCUGAGAGGGUGACCGGCCACAAUGGGACUGAGAUACGGACCAGAAUCCAACGGGAGGCAGCAGUGGGGAAUAUUGCACAAUGGGCGGAAGCCUGAUGCAGCAACGCCGCGUGCGGGAUGACGGCCUUCGGGUUGUAAACCGCUUUCGCCUGUGACGAAGCGUGAGUGACGGUAAUGGGUAAAGAAGCACCGGCUAACUACGUG
RNAcentral lists this ribosomal RNA (468 nucleotides) under uncultured bacterium. Its description in RNAcentral is "partial 16S ribosomal RNA". It matches the Rfam family "Bacterial small subunit ribosomal RNA", at positions 28 to 507 of the family's 1533-position model. The record is from RNAcentral.